RNAcentral lists this long non-coding RNA (9012 nucleotides) under Homo sapiens (human). Its description in RNAcentral is "HSALNT0234302". Lineage: Eukaryota; Metazoa; Chordata; Mammalia; Primates; Hominidae. The record is from RNAcentral.
GGGAAGUUGGGGAGGUACAUGAAGCAUAAUCAGAGUUACCAGUGUUCGGUGAACCACCGAACCAGUGUUUGCUUUCAUACGACCGCGUGUCAGAUCAUCUACUCUUCCACCAGUAAAUCUAUUUUGCUGAGGGAUACACAAAAGAAGCACUGAAAAACUAUACAUAAGAUUUUCUUUAGGUAAUUUUUUAUUAAUAUUUCAAUGUUGGUAGAAUACUGCUACAUACCCAGAAUUCAGGAUUUUCUACUAUAUUCUAUUCUAGUACAAAAUGAGAUUUUUUCCCCUCAAAAUCAGUUCACAAUAACUUCUAAUACAUCUGUUAUGAAAAAUGCUUAAUUCUUCAUAUAACUAUGUGUCUUAUAUAUAGGGUGAUCGUACAAUUUAUUAUACAAAAUGGGACAUACCUGAGAGUGAAAGGAAGCACUAUUAAAAAUUAAGGUGGGACUACAGGCAUGAAACCAGAACUGUCUUAGGCCAACUAGGACAUAUGCUUAUCAUCUUUAUAUACCCGGUGACCUCCUAUGUCAGCAAAUAAAGAAUAUAUACUAAUAUCAAUAGAUCACCAUGCUGUACUAUUGAGUGAGAAACCGUAGUAGCAGAAGGAACUGUGAGGUGGGAGACAGUAGUAUGGGGAAAGACAUGAACACCACAGCCCUGUUUUCUAUACAAAUAUAUACAUAUAUGAAAUUUGGGGACAUUAGUAAAAGGGGUCUUUGGCCUUAUCCGUAAUAUUUUAACAUUAUAUAAGAAAAAUACAUCUAUGCAUUAUUUGUAUAGUUACUUUUAAAUCUAAGUUACACAGAAGCACUCUGAAUGUGUAGAAAUAAAAGCUUGAUGAUUUUGGGUUGGCUUUCUAGCCCCACAAUUUAAAACCAACACACACCGCUAUGGGUGUUUAUAGACAUCAAAAUUUAGAGCAGAGAGGCAUAGAUGCCUACUUGUUCUCUAGCAUGGUGUAAUUGACUCUGCAAUCUCAAGAAAAGAAAAACUCAUUUUCAGUUUAGAGCUCAAAACGUGACUGAAUUGAGUAAUUGAAAACCAUGGUAUCAAGCCUGUAAUCCCAGCACUUUGGGAGGCCGAGGUGGGUGGAUCACCUGAGCUCAGGAGUUCGAUACCAUCACGGCUGACAUGGUGAAACCCCAUCUCUACUAAAAAUACAAAAAUUAGCUGAGCGUGGUGGCGGGCACCUGUAAUCCCACCUACUUGGGAGGCUGAGGCAGGAGAAUUACUCGAACCUGGGAGGCGGAGGUUGCAGUGAGCCAAGAUUGUGCCACUGCACUCCAGCCUGGGCCACAAGACCAAAACUCCGUCUGAAACAGACAAACAAACAAAAAAAACAUGGUAGGCUGGGCACGGUGGCUCAUUCCUGUAAUCUCACCACUUUGGGAGACUGAGGAAGGAGGAUCACCUAAGGCCAGGAGUUUGAGACCAGCCUGGGCAAAACGGUGAGACCCUGUCUCUACAAAAGACGACAGAAAAAUUAGCUAGGUGUGCUGGUGCACCUGUGGUUCUAGCUACUUAGGAGGAUCACCUGAGCCCAGGAGGGCACUGCAGCAGUGAGCUGUGUCCACAGUGCUACACUUCAGCCUGGUCGACAGAGUGACACCAUGUCUCAAAAGAAAAAAAGAAAAGCCACGGUAAAUAAACUAAUACCUGUUAUAUGGCAGGAAAUCAAUGAAACAUUUUCACUGAACCAUCUCUACCCGCAUAUGCAGUUGUUUUUUUCAAACUACAGUCUUAUGUUGCUAAUUAGUUACUGAACAUUCCAUUUGAACGUCUCAAACUCCACUAGCAUGUCUUGCAUCUCUUCCUGUAGACACCAGCUUCCCCUCCAAACCCUUCCAUCUUUCCCAGCAGAAACACUAUUAAUUAAGGAUCCAUGUGCAUAGUUCUUGUACAGGUUACAAAAGGCCUCUGUGCCAUUAAAUCCAUACAAGUUCCCCCAAGAGAUAAGCAGGGAAUGUUUUAUCUCCACUUUACAGAUGAGAGGCAUUUGCUCAAAGUCACAUUGCAAAUAAGAGAUGGCUCCAGGACAGGCAUAAGGAAGUGCAAGCAAAUGCAUGAGUCCCUUGAGCACUGAAGGGCUAUAAUCACCCACUACCAAAUAUUUCUUUUCCACUUGGGCCCAAACUUAAGGUAUUUGCUGUGCUCAGAGACACUUCCACUGUGAAGUGCUUUGUAAAAAGUUCACCCUUCUUUGGGAGAAUUUAAACAUCUAAGGGCACCUCUACAGGCUGGACUUUGCAUUUUCAUUACUUCGAAAGAUUUUUAUUAGGUCUGUGCUCCACGCCCAGAAUAGUGUAAGACUGCAGGGGAGGCAAAGAGCCAUCAGCAGCGAAUAAUACUUGGGCUCUGCUCUCAAGAUACUGAUUUAGAGGAGAGACUAGGACAUGUGCAAUGUGACCAAUAUCAGUAUUUGAUUAGGUACACAAACAAGUCUUCCUGGAGGAUGUCCUCUGGGCUAUUAAGUAUGGCUCUAACAUCCAUGCUCCUCACAAAAUACAUGGAAUUCCAGUAGAUUAACAGCACCCCCCGCCCACACACCUCAGCUCUACGUAAUACAUACUCACAUGACAAAAUAAUGGUUUGCUUCUGUAACUUAGUUUGUGUAGCAGAAGUCACUAUUUACAGUUACUCAUUUUUUGUAACAAAUAGUUUACUUUAAUUGCAAAUGAAGUUCGAGUAACACUUAGCCUUGAAUAAUGUCAUGCUAACGUGAUAAAACCACCUCCAACAAGGUAAGAGUUUGGGCCAGGCUCGGUGGCUCAUACCUGUAAUCCCAGCACUUUGGGAGGCCGAGGCAAGAGGAUUGCUUGGGGCAAGGAAUUCAAGACCAGCCCAGGUAACAUAGUGAAACACCGUCUCUACAGAAAAUAAAAGCUGGAUGUGGUGGCAUGCACCUGUAGUCCCAGUUACUUGGGAGGCUGAGGUAGGACAAUCAUUUGAGCCCAGGAGUUCGAGCCAACAGUGAGCCAUGACUGUGCCACUGUACUCUAGCCUGGGUGACAGACGAGACUCUAUCAAAAAAAAAAAAAAAAAAAUUUGGUCUUGGAUUCAAGUAAACCUGGCUCAAAUUUAAGUUUUGCCACUUCCUAGCUGGUGACGCUGGGUACCCUUGGGCAAGGUACUGCAUCUCCCUAAGCCUCAGUUUCCUCCCAUGUAAACUGGAGAUAAUAAAUUGAUCUGUUUCUUAAAGACAUUAAGAAAGCUAAAUAAGCCUAAGAAAUAAAGAAAGCCUCAGGUGGAUCACCUGAAGUCAGGAGUUUGAGACCAGCCUGGCCAACAUGGCGAAACCCCAAAUCACCGCUAAUUAAACAAAAAUUAGCCGGUUGUGGUGGUGGGCGCCUGUAAUCCUAUUGACUCAGGAGGCUGAGGCAGAAGAAUCGCUUGAACCCAGGAGGUGGAGGUUGCAGUGAGCUGAGAUCACGCCAUUGCACUCCAGCCUGGGCAACAAGAGCAAAACUCCAUCUCAAAAAAAAGAAAAAAAAAUUAGAAAGCCUUAUCCUGAGUAAACUCUCAACAAAUAGUAGCAAUUAACUAUUAACAAUGUUCAUCUUUGAGUAAUUUAGUUAACUAGGGUGACAGGUUAAUAUUGAUCAUUAGCUUCAUGUUGAACAUUCCCAGAAGCUAAAUCCCCUAUGAAAGGCACAGGACUAUAAAUCAGUGGAGUGGGGGUGUUGUAAUUGCCCAGCAAUGUGCAAAUAAUUCCCCUUAAAACCUGGGCAACAUUUCAGACUUAUUAUUAUCUAUUCAGGACACUAACUCCUAGUGACUGUUAAGAGCAAAAGACGACUCAUUCUUAUAACAUAUAUACAUAUGUUAAAAUAUAUAUAUGGGUAAGACAGUAUUUUACUCUUGGAUCUGAAAUAUGGCUCCACUGGGAGGCUAGAGCAAAAGAUAUGUAGAAUACUUGCCAAGAUUAAAAUCUUGCAUAUUAGUAAUGAAGAAUUUUUUAAUUACUUGCAUGCUUUAACCAGCUGUUAAAAAUAAACAUUGCGAAUUACUGCUGAUAAAUCCCCUGUUGGUUGAAAGACACUUGCCUGGAUCACUUUGCUACAUGCAAUUUCUUUGUAGUGAACUAGAUUUGGCCUCGGUCAUAAUUACUUGAGUUCAAUGAACUCAAGUAAUUAUGAACGCAACUUGAGUUCAAUGAGUUCCUGGUGUGCCCAGGUUCUAAAAUACAGAAGGGUAACAUGGUAUGAAUUUGCACAACUUAGAGAUACCAGGGACUGGUUGACUCUAUUUCUGGUUUGAUUUUCAAUAGCAAAAGGCUGUUUUACACUAAAAGAUCAGGUAACCAGGCACAACAAGAUGUGUUGCCAAAGAAUCCCUUUGGCUCAAGAAAAAGAGGCUCUAGGUUGGCUGGAAAAGUCAGCACUGGGACGUAGCAGUGCUUGUCUGUGUCAACAAAGAACUGGGCCCUGCAUAAAGGAGCAGGUGGGGGGUCACUCGAAUCCAAGGCCCUUUGGCGAGUCCCAUCUCCCCCUUCAUUCAUUCAGCAAAGUUGUACUGAGCACCUGCUGUAGCAAAGCACUGCAAAGGGAAGAGCCAAGCAGAAGUCAGGAGCCUCUCAGCAUCUUGCAAGGGAGCCAGUGUUUAGUAUCUGGCACCAGUGCUCACCUCCUUGUUGAAAGAUAAGAAACACCUAGAGUGCAGAUUACCAACCAACACAGACUUUCUCAAUCAGAAGCAUCAGGGAAGAGUCUGGAGUCUGUAUAUCGAGGUAAAAUAGAUGUAAGGAGUUCCUGAAAUCAUUGGUUCUGAUCAUUCCCCUGCCCCCGUGCUUUUCUGGUUGUUACAGUGAAAGGACCGAUUCCAGAGCUUCCUACUCUGCCGUUUUACAUGAUGUCACCCUUCUGGAGUCUGCAUUUUUAAUUUAGGCCUUGAAUGUUCUUAUUGCCUCAGGCUGGGAGUCUCAGGUGUAAAAGAAGCAAUAACUGGGGAAUCAGCUGUAAUUUCAGAUAAGGGACCACCUGGCUGAUAAGUGCAUUCACCCCGUCAACAAGCAUUUAUUGGGCAUAUGAAGGGUACAGAAGUAGAAAAAACAGACAUGGUUCCUGCUCUCAUGGGGCGUUUAUGUUCUGGGGAGCAAAUCACUUCAUCAAACAAUUUCCAUAUAAAACAAGAGUUUGAACUACUCUGCUUAAAGGUAUGUUGGUGCCAAAUAUACAUGAUUUGAAUAAACGUAAUUCAAAUAAACAUGAUUCUAGAAAAGGAAAUCAAUCUCAUUUUUUAAGAAAAACUCCAGCAAAUGUUAAAUUACCCAGGGACCAAAAGACGACCCCCGUUUGAAAGAAAGAGGGCACAGAGGUGAGUGGAGAGGCUGCCUUUGGAAACCACGGGGUAGGAUCACCUGUACCCAGGAGUGGACUGUGGACAUGGCACACCAGGACAUGCUGCGAUUCCUGGAGAAAAAUCGAACUUAAAGGACCUUAAGCAGAAAAGAAAGUGAACUGAAGACUCACGUGAGAGGACGAUCUGGAAUGAUGAGCGUCCCGCAGGCAGCGUUACGGAACCCCAGUGUAGUCACCAGGACCUCCUCCCUCUCCAUUUUUUGGCUCUUCUUAACACAUAGCUGGACCCAGCAGCCCAAACAUCAUCAGCACUCGGUCCUCUCCUUCAGGUAGGAGGACCCUGAAGAGGAGCUGCACCAAGCGCCUGUCCUCCCCAGAGAAGCAAUCCUAGCUGAAAGGGUUUCUCUAAACCUGCUCUGGGAGAAAGGCUGAAAGGAUGACGCUGACUGGCCCAUCGUGGCCCAAUGACUGCGGCCGAAGGAUGGAAGUCCUGUGAGCGGUCAGGCCUGCAUGUGGAGGUCAGCCCCACGAAAGGGCUGGGAGGGACUUUUUGUCACCAAAAAGGAGCAUGGGGUAUCAUUCUCUAAAGUGAGAUAUGCUGGUGAACAGCACACAACCUGGUGUGCCAUCUCUAAGCAAGAGAUGCUGGUGAAGAUUUUAAUAACAUUGCUGGUGCUGGCUUCCAAGGCCAGCCAGCAGGGGCACCAGUGGCCCUAUAAUGAUGUCUAAUUGGGUCAGAGCUGGGGCGUGGCAUUCUGCAGGCAACUUCUACCCUUUGUAAGGCUGGGCGAACCGGAGAUUUGGAAAGCAAUACAAGGUAGAAGCAGCCCCAACAAUCUACGACAAAGCAACACUUGCCUCUUUUAUACACCAUGUUAGAUGGUUGAGGAAAAUAAAACAUUUUCUUGAAAAGAAUCCCUAGGCCUAUUCCCUAGGUUUGAGAAACACCACAGCAUAGGUAAUUUGGUGCCAGAAUGAGUUAUUUGACCCUCCACUAACUGUUACUGCUUGUAAUGUGGCACUGUCUGCCCCUGUCACCAGAAACGGCACUGAGGACAUCCAAGAAGUAUUUCCAACAGGCUUUCCAGACCGCUCUUCCCUUUUUGCAGGUGGGAGCAGUUUGGGCAUUACCUUUAGGUUCCAAUACAGGGCUCCUUGUUGCUCACACAUCCUUCCUUCAUUGCGACCCUCCAUCAAUCAUAUGGAUAACCUCCCACACACUCCUCAGAAGCCAUGGGUGAGGUAGCAGUGCUGGGUGGCUUCUGCCCAGACCUCUGAGAGCAUCCCCAAGUGCACAAGUGUGAGCAUAAUUUUAUUGUUAGGCAGGGUUGAGUGAUUCAAUCUAAGGUUGAGGCAAGGUGAGGGCAGCUGGGAACCCUAGAACUAAUAGAAUUUCUUAACUGCAGCGUCUCCUGACCAUAGAAAGGAAGGGGAGCUCCCUUUCAGGAAAUAGACUAAGUCUUUUAAAGUGGUGAGUUUUCAGCUGAGAUGUGGAGGGAGCACAAAUCACUUGGCCCACAUUCCUUCCCCAUUCCCUGACCUCCUUAUAGCAUUAAUACUCCACCAGAUCAUAUAGACAAUGACUUCCCUUACUCACUAGACCUCAUCUAAUCUUGACUUAGUUACGACAGUUCUAGUGUAGGUUGGCUAUUUUCCCCAGUCUCCAAAAGAUUAGAAACAGUGAGUUAUCUGUGUGCUAGAAAAGAGUGUUCAUCCAUAGCAGAUGGGAAAACAGCAUUCAUUGGACAAAUACUUAUUGAACUCCUGCACUGUGCCGGGCAUUAGGAGUACAGCUGUAAGCAAGACAAAGUUCCCACCCUCAUAGAGCUAACAGGCAUUAAACAAAUAACCGUACAAAUGUUUACAGUUAUGAGCAAUGCUAUAAAAGAAAGGCAGGAAGCUAUGACAGGCCUGUAGCAUCAUUUGUAGCAGGAGCACCAAUCUUAAAUUGCUGGGAUCAGUGAAGGCCUCUAGAAAGAGACUUAACAAGAGACACGAAAUAAACAUUAUUCAGGCCAAAAGGAGGAGCAGGGAGCCUGAGAAGCUUGGAGCCCAGGAACCUAAAAAAGGUCAGUGUAAUUGGGGCAGAGAAGGCAGAAUAAUGUGAGAUGAAGUUAGAGAGACAGGCAAGGGGCCAGUUCAGACAAAGCCUCUUGAUCACGUUAAAGAUUCUCAACCUAAGGAAAGUUUUCAGCAGAGAAGUGACAAAAGAUUUGCACCUUUAUAGAGUCUCUUGGCUAGGCAUGUGGAGAAUGGACUGAAGGAAGGAGGGUGUGGAUAUGGGUGGAAGAGCAAAUGGGCUACUAGUGGAAUCUAUGGGAGAGAAGGUACACCUAUACCUUGGGCAGUUUUAAGGCAUGAUUACAAGUAAAAAUCAACUGGCUUAAACAUGGGUUAGGUGUGUCAAGUCUGGGAGAGGGCAGGGGUCAGGGAUUAUCCCAGAUCUCUGGGAUGGGAAAUUCAGCAGGUAGUGGAGAUAUUUACUAAGGAAGGGAGCCCUGUAAGAAUUUGGGGUGGGAGAGGAUUAUGAAUUCCACUUUGGCUACACUGGCUGACAGGUGCAUGUGGGACAUCCAUGUGGAGUUGCAGAAGUACUUAGAUAUGAGUCUGGAGCCCAGGAGUGGUCUGGAACUGUACAUCUAGUAGUACAUAUUUGGGCUGGGAGAUGAAAAUGGAGGCCAUGGGCUUAGGUGAGCUCACCUAGGGAGAAAGUAUGGUAUUAGAACAGGGCCAAGGAAUGAGCACUGAGAAAAUCUACCAUUUCAAGCUGGAGUGGGAGACAGUAACAGAAUUGGGGAGAUAUGGAAGCAGGAAUGUGGUAGCCAGGUUCCACGUUGGCCUCCAAUGACACCACCUCCUGGUAUUCAUAUCCUUGUGUAGUCUCCUCCCACACUGAAUACGGCUAACCUGUGUAAACACCCGAGACUGUGGAAACGACAGUGCAUGGCUGUGGCUGUGAGUAUAAAAUCUUUUUAAGAUCUCAGAAAGGCCUGAUGUGGCACCCCAGAGAGCUGUUCAGACAGUAAGGCUUCUAAGAAGCACAGCGUAUUGUCCCUUGGCAGUCUGAGCAGAAGCUCACAGUGGAGAACUUACCUCAGAGAUUUGUGGGUGUGGCUUUUGUGAGUGAACUGCAAUAAGACUCAGGUGACGCAUUCAAAAUAAUGUUCCCAGUACCACUGCCAGCUUGAAUGGAAAGGGAUAUAGUGCAAAAUGUUAACACAGCCGUUGGGCCCCUAAAAUCCUUCUGGCAAGAAGCAGGCAGAAAAAGCUUUGUAGCUGGAAAUGUGGGCAACGUUUCAUGGAAAAGGAAGGAUGACUCACAUCGGGCCAAGAGCUCAGCCUCCAAGAUCGCCUUUGACCAUCUCCCUCUUCUGGUAUAAUACGGAAAUACCUUUGUGUAUUUCCUUCCCCUACUGAAUAGGAUUGACCUGCAUAACCAAUAUACUGUGGAAUGACACUGUGACAUUUGAGGCCAAGUCAUAAAGGACAAUGCAGCUUCCACCCUGCUGUCUUGGAUGACCUGCUCUGGGGAUGAGGAUAUUCAAGCAGUUCUAGAACAAUACAUGGCAGGUGCUCAUAUGCGUUAACCCCAGGCUAAUGCAAAAGCUUCUUUAUGACAGAAAAGACUCCAAACACGUUUUCCUAAAAACAAUCACUACCAUCACCUCAUACUGAUGUUGCAAUUUAUAUUAGAAGUACUUUCACCACAUCUUGCUUU